Molecule: long non-coding RNA, 3673 nt
Organism: Zeugodacus cucurbitae (melon fly)
Lineage: Eukaryota; Metazoa; Arthropoda; Insecta; Diptera; Tephritidae
Exons: 5
Source: RefSeq, a predicted model, not a curated record
GAGAACGUACCACUCACUACGAAUAUGUACGGUAUGUAUGAUGAAUUUAUUUAUUAUGCACGUUGGCUGGCUACAACCGACCGACAGCGCCGCCACCACCAACACCACCUGACACUGCCGAUAACAACGUUGACGCCGAUGACGUUGUUUGUUGAUUUGUUGGGCUCGCUCGCUAGCUAGGUUGUGUUCGCUGGCUAGGUAGUUGAAAAUUGUUGGCAAACGACUUGUUUGGCUGCUAACAGGCGCACAGCGACAAGUAGCGAGUAACUUGUACAACGAAUUUUAUUUUAUAUGUGUGUACUCGAACUCGUGUGUUGUAUGUAUGUAUGUAUGCUUGUGCGGUCGGCAGGGUUGGCACAAAUUAAAUUGCAGCUGGUUGGGUGUGAUAAGUAGUAGGUAAAGUGCGCGGGCGGUAUGGCGGACAAGUAGAGUCAACGAAAUGAAAUGCAAAGUGUAGGAAAGACAAAAAUGGGUAGAACACAUGUAUGUACAUAUGUACAUACUCGUACGACAUUUAAAUACAUAUAAAAAUUAAUGUGAGUGCGAAUACGAAAAUGUGGAAAAAAUAAUUUAAACACACGCAGGCGAAGAAGAGACGAGAUAACGGCAGACACAACUCGUCAUCGAACAAACAGGCUAAUAAUUGCCAUUAAAAUGUAACUGUUGGAACUAUGCAAGUCUUAAUGGCGUUAUAAGGUAGCCAUUUUUAUUAUUUCGCAGCGCAAACUACUACUAGCGGAAGAAAAGAAAGAAAAGACCGUGGAGUUGCAAAUUUAAUUAAAUCAUUGGGGGCAAUAUUAAUUGAGAGCCGGUUAGAAAUUGAAACAGUUAGACCAAUGCAAUGCAUUCAAGGUGACUUCAACAAACUAAUUUCUAUAAUUUUUGAAAAAUAUUCGUCAUUUCAAUAUGGAGCUUUGGUCGUAUUGCAGCUACAUACAGACAUACAAAUCUACAACCGUGUAAAGCUCACACUCGUUAGCAAAUUCGCCGAGUAGGUACUUUACAGCAGGCACUGCAGUGUCAGUAGUCGUCCAAAAAAGUACUCAAAAGCACAGAGAGCAAGACAACUCUGGAAGCCGAAUGCUGAGUUGACCUGUAUGGUGCUGCGUCAAGCAAACAACCAGGCAGCUAGGCAGCCAGCCACCCAAUCGAGCAGUCAUCCAGCCGUCAGGCACCCAAGGCUGCCACGAGCCUAUGCAGUAGGAGAGUAAGCCCAAUGUAUGCGUUGUUGAGAUGAGUAACCCUUGAAAACUUUAGUGGAUGCACGCAACAUGACAUGCAACAAAAUCGAUAAAGAGGUAGCCAUGCAUUUGUGCACAACCGUGUAUAUAUUUGAAUACAUUUGGUAUACCUACUUGUGCUUGCAACUGCAUGCAAGUAUGUUUGUAUGUUUACUUAUUUAAAUUUGUCAAUUUUAUGUAUACUCAUGCCAUUGGGAUGACUUUAUUAGAACAACAGUUGGAGAAAAAAUCGAAGCUGUAGCCUCCCGCAUAAAAUAUAAGAUACAUACAUACACACAUAUCAGUUCAAAGCUAACCUCAAAAUUCGUGCUUAUAAAUUUGUACACCAACGAAUGAAUGUCUAAGCAUAUACCAUUGUCGGCAUAUACCGUAUUGUAUAAUCUCGAAUUCGGAAAGUGUUCUGAAGUGGAAAAUAAUCGGCAGGCAGUUCGUAGCUGGGGGAAAGUGACCUCAAUGUGUUAAUUAUUACUGCACUUUCUAAGCAAGGCAGACCAGCAAAAGCAAGUUAACUAAAUUUUAUUUCAAUAGCAAAAACCAAUUUUUUUAUACACUGCUUUUCGAGUACGCUUGGAAGCUGGUCAUGUAAACUGGCUUUGUUGACGCAUUGCCACACUUAAAGUUAUCGCAACUUUUGCUAAAAUAAACGGCGGCUGUUGUUGUUUUUGUUACAUGAUUUUCUUACACGGCAAAGGUGAAUAAACUCACCAUGGCUAUACAAGAAAUGCAGCCCAGCGCCAAGUCGCCAGUUGCCCGAUAUGCCAGUCUCCAAACACAGCUAAGCACAGCGUACAGCGCACAGCAAAAAGUGUACAACAAACGAUUUACAGCAACAACAACAACAACAGCAAUAUGAAACUAACACACAAAAUGCGACAGCAGUGCUCUUGCUGUUUUGUGAGCUGCGGUUGCCAACAUUGCGAUUUAACGGCUAUAACUUUCAAACAAAAAAAGCGUUCAAAGAAGCAGAAAAACGGCAAUAUACAAAUUAAAAGAAAUAAAAAGAAAAAAAUUUACUAACUAAGAGUGACUUAAAGCGAGGAGCAAAAAUAAGAUAGGUAUGUACAUAUAAACAUACUCGUAUAUCACAAAAAUAAUGUACAUAUAAUAAGAAAGGCAACAAACAGCACAUCAACAAAUCGAAAUCAGUACCAACUAAAGAAAGAGUAACACUUAACAAACCGUAAAAGCGAUCAGCCAAAGCAAAGCGCACUGGCAUAUGCCCAUACAUACAUACAUACAUACAUACAGACUAUAUAGAGAGAUCGUGUGUAUGAUUUUUAGUAAAUGUGGCAAUUGAAGAAACAGAAAAUUAAGCAAUAUGUACGUCUAACGCCUCAACUUAGACACAAAGUAAGCCCCAACAGUGUAAACAGAGCUAAACGGACGGAUGGACGAACAGUCAGCGUCAGAAUGCCUGUCGGCCAGCCAGCUAAAUAGCCAGCGAAGCAGUCAUUUAGCCAAUGAUCGUGGCGGUGCGACCGAGUCAACUAACCAAAUACGAUUUUAGCAAACUACCGAUACGACGACAUCAAGCCAUAAUUUUAUAUGUACGAGUACUUAUAGACAACGUUUUGAGCUUGUGAUGCCAGCACAAUGCAGGCAAAAGCAGUGGCAGACAAACACGACAGACAGACAAAUAAAUGCGCUGACACACAGCUAGAUUGACCGACUGACAGACAGAAGACAGGCAGGCAGGCGCACAAGUCCGUCGGCCGUAAGCGGCAGUAGGCGAGAAGCAAUAAGCGAUCGACGACUCCAAUGAUGAAGGCAUACAUACUACAUUGAGUGAACUGUUGCAACAUGGAGCGGUUGAAAGUGCGCACUGUUGUUGGAUCAUUUGUGCCAACAGCCAAACGUCGUCAACGAAUCGAUAAAUGUGCGCAGAAUUCGUGUUGUUGUUGAACUGUAUUAACCGUUGUAUGCAGUUGAUUUUUUCGCUUUUUAGUACUUUGUUUGUUUGCUUGUUUGCUCUCUACAUUGCGCAGAAGAAGGCGUACAACGGCGCACCGUAACUAACGUGAAAACGUCACCGCACAAAAUCGAUGCGCUACUACGUCGGGUAAUCAACGAGAAUCGACAUUAUCUGAGACGCCAUUAUUAAUUUUAUUAUGUAUAUAUGUACAUUUUACGUUUUUUGUCGCGUAUUUAUAUACUUAUGCAUAAAUAAAUGCCUGUGUAUAUAAUAUACAUAAAUACAUAUGUAUAUUCGUUAGCGUAUGUAAAUAUAUUCGUUUGUGGCGCUGUUUUUUGUUUCCAAAGUAAAUGAAUGUAUCGUUUAAUUUGCUAUUUAAAAUUCUGUGUAUGGUGACCCUGACGUGUAUUGAAGUCAGCGCGACGACAAGAAUGCUUUUUGCUUUAAAUUAUUGUAUUUUUUAUUAUUAUUUACUCAAGUGAAUCUCGGUGACAUAAUAUACAUAAAUAUAUUUUACUGU